RNAcentral lists this ribosomal RNA (492 nucleotides) under uncultured bacterium. Its description in RNAcentral is "partial 16S ribosomal RNA". It matches the Rfam family "Bacterial small subunit ribosomal RNA", at positions 30 to 507 of the family's 1533-position model. The record is from RNAcentral.
AUUGAACGCUGGCGGCAUGCUUUACACAUGCAAGUCGAACGGUAACAGGCCUUCGGGUGCUGACGAGUGGCGAACGGGUGAGUAAUGCAUCGGAACGUGCCCAGAGGUGGGGGAUAACGCAGCGAAAGCUGUGCUAAUACCGCAUGUGAUCUGAGGAUGAAAGCGGGGGAUCAGGCAGCAAUGUUUGGCCUCGCGCCUUUGGAGCGGCCGAUGUCAGAUUAGGUAGUUGGUGGGGUAAAGGCCUACCAAGCCGACGAUCUGUAGCUGGUCUGAGAGGACGACCAGCCACACUGGGACUGAGACACGGCCCAGACUCCUACGGGAGGCAGCAGUGGGGAAUUUUGGACAAUGGGCGCAAGCCUGAUCCAGCAAUGCCGCGUGCGGGAAGAAGGCCUUCGGGUUGUAAACCGCUUUUGUACGGAACGAAAAGGCUCUGGCUAAUACCUGGGGCUGAUGACGGUACCGUAAGAAUAAGCACCGGCUAACUACGUG